GCGCCUACGGGGCGCAGCAGUCGGGAAUAUUGCGCAAUGGAGGAAACUCUGACGCAGUGACGCCGCGUAUGGGAAGAAGGUUUUCGGAUUGUAAGCCAUUGUCGUUAGGGAAGAAGAAGUGACAGUACCUAAGGAGGAAGCUCCGGCUAACUAUGUGCCAGCAGCCGCGGUAAUACAUAGGGAGCGAGCGUUAUCCGGAUUUAUUGGGUGUAAAGGGAACGCAGGCGGUCUUUUAAGUCUGAUGUGAAAGCCUUCGGCUUAACCGGAGUAGUGCAUUGGAAACUGGGAGACUUGAGUGCAGAAGA
This 305-nucleotide ribosomal RNA is filed under the name uncultured bacterium. Its description in RNAcentral is "bacterial SSU rRNA". It matches the Rfam family "Bacterial small subunit ribosomal RNA", at positions 334 to 655 of the family's 1533-position model. The record is from RNAcentral.